This 254-nucleotide ribosomal RNA is filed under the name uncultured bacterium. RNAcentral's name for it is "partial 16S ribosomal RNA". It matches the Rfam family "Bacterial small subunit ribosomal RNA", at positions 524 to 776 of the family's 1533-position model. The record is from RNAcentral.
UACGUAGGGUCCAAGCGUUAUCCGGAAUCACUGGGCGUAAAGCGUGCGUAGGUGGCGCGUUAAGUGUGAUGUUAAAUCGCGGGGCUCAACCCUGUCGAUGCAUCGCGUACUGGCGUGCUAGAGGGAAGCAGAGGCAAGUGGAAUUGGUAGUGUAGCAGUGAAAUGCGUAGAUAUUACCAGGAACACCAAUGGCGAAGGCAGCUUGCUGGGCUUCUUCUGACACUGGAGGUACGAAAGCGUGGGGAGCGAACAGG